This is a long non-coding RNA of Clupea harengus (Atlantic herring), 1012 nucleotides long. NCBI's taxonomy places the organism in Eukaryota, Metazoa, Chordata, Actinopteri, Clupeiformes, Clupeidae. The record is from Ensembl.
UGUCCCCAUACAAGCAUUCAGAAGAAAAGUUGUGUAGGCCUUAUAUUACAUCAUCAUCAGACUUUGUGAGUACAGCCAUGUCAAUUUAUAAAUAGUUAUAUAGACUUAUGUCAGACACUAUUAUGCAAUAUGAAUACUUAAUAAACAUUUACGAAUGUGUUUACAUUUUUUAUGGAUACACAGUAUCAAAUUUCAUAUCACUCCUUCUAGUCACAAUACAUCUUUUAAAACAAUGCCACAGAACUGUAGUUUCCAUAUUUGGGAGAGCUUUAAAACCAGAAAUUUACAGAGGACUUUUCAUUUAAUUUUCAAAUUGCAGUUAUGUUUUAAAAGACCAAAGCUCAUUUAGACUACACAACCACCUCUUUGUAACCUUGACGUAUAACCUAACUCCCAAAAUGCCACAUUUUAUUCCAUUCUCUCGACAGACAGUAACAAUGAGUUAUCUGAACCAUGAUGGUACAUCAUGUCAUCUUUGACUUAGAACACAGGGUCAAAUGAGCUACAGUGAAGCAACCUCCAUGGAUUGCAAGAGCUCAGAUUUUGCCCUGUGGUCUCUUGAUUGCAAAGGCUCUUGGGUUUUGACCAAGACACACAAAGCCACCAGUCGUCUGACAGGCUUGCCACUGUGCCAAGACUGUGCAGAAAUUCAUAUGAUGACACAAACAUCCAUCCCAGAUACAGAAGUGAAAAUGGAUCUCAAAAGGCCCAACAAUCUAUUGAUGAAAUGGAAAGAAAACCAAUCUUGAUUGAAACUACAGCAUGAUCCAAAUGCUGAUGGAUGUGGAAACAUUGCUCCCCACCAUCACUACUCCUCAUCUACGCAUAUUGACAGCCAAACUCUCCCCACUCACUCUGUCUCUUCUAUCUCCCCUAGUCUAGACUAUCUUCACUAUGGAACGCUGCUGAAACCCUCGGCCCACAUGCACCCAUCACCACCGUACUGCUGUACACUUACUCUACCCCAUACCCUGUUCUAGUAUUUAUAUGCGAUAUAUAUAUUAUAUUAUGA